RNAcentral lists this long non-coding RNA (573 nucleotides) under Oryza sativa Indica Group (long-grained rice). RNAcentral describes it as "lncRNA OsZS97_11G023120". The record is from RNAcentral. Lineage: Eukaryota; Viridiplantae; Streptophyta; Magnoliopsida; Poales; Poaceae.
GCAGCUGGACGUGGCCAGUCUGGUCAAGGAAAUCAAGGGCGCGUCCAGACAGUGAGCCAAAACAAGGAGGACUGUGAGCUCGCCGAACGCGCAGACUUGAUCCUUGAUCUGCUCGGUCGGUUGCAGAAAUCCAAGGUCAUAGAGGACCCUGACAUGUGGAAACCAACGGAGAGGCUCAGAUCAACUCUUCGUAGGGCGUGCGAGGUCAUCGAAUUCUGUCAGGAGAGGAGCUGCGCGUACCGUUUCUGCAAGAGCGACCAUAUCGCCAAAGAGUUGCGCAAGGUGCUCAAGGCUCUGAAAUUUUGCGUUGCCCACCUGACGGCACUCACCACCAUCAUCAAUGGUGAUCAAACCACACGUUACUUUCUGGUCCAGCAGACUCCAGAUGUUGUUAAGCUGCAGCAAAGUAAACUUGAAUCACCUUUUUCUACAGUCCUGCAUAAUAUUGUUGAAGAAACAUCAGCAGAAAAGAAGAGAUCAAGAUGCUGUCGGUGGCAUCCCUGGAAGAGCAUUGCUACCACUUCCAACACUGGCAUGCUUGUUGCACAAAAAGAAACAGGUAAUGAUGAAUGA